AUGGCGGCGGCGGUGUCCCAUCUGGAUCUGGACGGUGGCACGAAGCGGCGGCGGAAGGAGGAGGAAGUAGAAGCAGGCGCGGAGGCGGCAGAGGACCGCAUCUCGGAGCUGCCGGAGGCGCUGCAGCUGCACAUCCUCUGCCUGCUCCCGCUCAAAUCCGCCAUCCGCACCGGCGCGCUCUCCACCCGGUGGCGCUCCCUCUGGACGCACCGCUGGCCGGCGCCCUCCUCCCUCGACUUCCACCUCGGCACCCACGACUCCCCCCAUCCGUUCCUCGAAACCCUGGAGCGGCGCGGGCGGCGGCGCCUCCAGCGGUUCGCCCUCUCCUUCCACAUCGGCAAGCUCAAGGCCGAGCACUUCCGCCGCUGCCUCGACUACGCGGCCGCCUGCGCCAUCGAGGACCUGCACGUCCACCUCUCAAACCGCGUCUUCAACAUCUUCUUCGACUACCGGCUCCCGCUGGGGGACGCCCACCUCGCGCGCCUCUCGCUCCGCGCCGUGACCGUCGACCUCCCCGUGUCCUUCUCCGCCCACUCCCACCCCUUCUCCGCCCUCGAGGUCAUCCACCUCCACUGCGUCCGCAUCUCCGACCGCACGGUCAACCGCCUGGUCGCUGCGUGCCCCCUCCUCCACACCCUCGAUCUGCGCUACUGCGAAAGCCUCCUCUCCGUCAUCGUCACGGCGGCCGGGGCACACUUGAGGAGCCUAACCCUUGCAGAGUGUGGUUCGGAAGCCGAAGUAUUUUUUGCCGGCGAUGCGUCCAGCCUGCGCUCAUUCCACUACAGCGGCGCCUACAUUCCGGCCUGCAGCAUCCCGGCCACCGCCAAUCUUGCUGACCUUUACAUCUGCUUCGGAGGACCUAACCGCUGGAGGCAAUUGUCAGGACCUUAUUGCGAGCUGCGCACAAACUGGCUUCAACUGCUAACCAAUUUGUCUAACCUCACCGUGCUUACCCUCUGCAGCAGUGCCCUACGGAGAUUGUCUGCCAAAGCUCGUGCCAGGUUAGCUGCCACAGGCGCUGCACCAUGCAAGUUGCUGAAUUUGAGAGAGCUUCAGCUACUGAUGUUCGCAAUGGAGAUCGAUAACAUAAACGACAUUUACACUUUCCUUGUGGCCUGCUGUGGCCCUCGAUUGGAGAGGUUAUUUGUGCAGCUUCCGACAAGUAGUUGUUAG
Molecule: ribosomal RNA, 1173 nt
Filed under: Triticum aestivum (bread wheat)
Lineage: Eukaryota; Viridiplantae; Streptophyta; Magnoliopsida; Poales; Poaceae
Description: partial small subunit ribosomal RNA
Source: RNAcentral